CUGGAGGAUAAAUGUUCUGACUUUGUUCUUUCCAGUUGAUCUGAGAGGAAUUGAAGGAAUAAAUACAAAAUCUUCAGCAACAAAAAGAUGUUCCCAUUAAGAUAUUUCCCUCCUAGUCCUCUAAGAGU
Molecule: long non-coding RNA, 128 nt
Organism: Melanotaenia boesemani (Boeseman's rainbowfish)
Lineage: Eukaryota; Metazoa; Chordata; Actinopteri; Atheriniformes; Melanotaeniidae
Exons: 3
Source: RefSeq, a predicted model, not a curated record